UACGAAGGGGGCUAGCGUUGUUCGGAAUGACUGGGCGUAAAGGGUGUGUAGGCGGUUAUACGCGUCAGAUGUGAAAUCCCCGGGCUUAACCUGGGAAUGGCAUUUGAUACGGUAUAGCUAGAGAUUGGUAGAGGGUAGAGGAAUUGCGAGUGUAGAGGUGAAAUUCGUAGAGAUUCGCAGGAACACCGGUGGCGAAGGCGGCUACCUGGGCCAAUACUGACGCUGAGGCACGAGAGCGUGGGGAGCAAACAGG
Molecule: ribosomal RNA, 253 nt
Filed under: uncultured bacterium
Lineage: Bacteria
Description: partial 16S ribosomal RNA
Rfam family: Bacterial small subunit ribosomal RNA
Source: RNAcentral